Molecule: ribosomal RNA, 253 nt
Filed under: uncultured Acidobacteriota bacterium
Lineage: Bacteria; Pseudomonadati; Acidobacteriota
Description: uncultured Acidobacteria bacterium partial 16S ribosomal RNA
Rfam family: Bacterial small subunit ribosomal RNA
Source: RNAcentral
UACGUAGGCAGCAAGCGUUGUUCGGAGUUACUGGGCGUAAAGAGUGCGUAGGCGGUCCUCUAAGUUCGGUGUGAAAUCUCCCGGCUCAACUGGGAGGGUGCGCCGGAAACUGGGGGGCUUGAGUGUGGGAGGGGAAAGCGGAAUUCCUGGUGUAGCGGUGAAAUGCGUAGAUAUCAGGAGGAACACCGGCGGUGUAGACGGCUUUCUGGACCACGACUGACGCUGAGGCACGAAAGCGUGGGGAGCAAACAGG